ACCGCCCGCCGGUGCUUUUACGAAGACCCCGCCGCCGCCCCGCGCGCACCGCGCGUCUAACUCCGACCCGCUGCGCGCUGCCUCUCCCAUUUUCCUCUCGUCUCUCUCCCUGUCCCUCUCUCCGAUGGCCUCCAUCGACGGCGCGGCGCCCGCCGCCACUGCCGGCUCUCUUUUUCCUCUUCUAUCCUUUCACUCUUUGCCCGUUCCGGAUGCCGCGCUUGCGCUGCAGCCCCCCUCUCCCCCCUCCCGUUCCUUCCUUUCCCUUCCUCUCCCUUCUUUCAGCCUCUCGCCGUCUGGCGCUCCGGGAGGUCGCCCCCUUUUUUUUUGUAUUUUGCCGUAGCAGCCUCUGUACUCCCGCAUCCAGGCCCUGAAAGGAGACUGCUUUUGCCGGGGGAGUUUAACCCUGAAGUCAGUACCUGCUGUCAUUUCUAAACGGGAUUAAAUACAUGGUGAUUCUGGGAAAUACAAUGGACUGAUGGAAGGAGGGAUGUGCAUUCAGCAAGCAAGCAAUGAUUGUGGCUAGAAAACUCGUAUGAGCAGCAACAUAACAGGCAUGGACUCUUUCUCUCUCUUGCUCUAUGGCUAUAUAUUCAGAAAUAAAUCAUGUGUACUUUCGUCUCAGAGAUCACAAGUUUCCUACAUAUGUAGUAUUCCCAGACUCUUAAUUAAACACUUCCCUCUUGGCACAUUUGUGGCCUGCGUCCAAGUCUGAAGUCUGAACAAUCUGAUAUAUGCCUCCUUUCUUCAUGGGACCUAGCUCACUUUCCUUUCCAAUUUAUAAGCGUCCAAUUUUCUCUUUUGCAUAUAGAGUGAGCAUAGCAUGUCAAAGAUGUAUUUGAGUUGAGUAUUGAUUGGUUCAAACUGCAAAAUAAACUAAUUAACCUGUCCACCUCUAAGCCUAUUUGCCAAUUGGUUAUAUCUAUUUAUGUCUGAAUUAGAACAUGCAAACCUGCAGUACAGUAGGUCAUCAGGUGCUUAUAGUGGAGCAUAUCAGCUUCUAACAUAUUAGUCAAUAAGAAAUCAGCGUAUGCAAUCAGUAUUUACACAUGACAGAAGCACCACACUAGAGGCACCACGUUCAAAACCGCAAAAAUGAUUAUCAUGUACCAGUUUUCGGUUUUCCAUUUAGCUUAUACUUGAUCGAUGAAGUUCUCCAAGUUGUUAGAAGUUCCCUACUAAACUUAUUUGCUGAUCUGAUGCACGUAACAGAUUAGUGAAAAAAUGUAAGACAAGUAGUGGUUGAUUGCUAUACUGCCUUUUUGUCAAUAUUGAUAGUUCAAAAACCGCAAGUUUAACUUUAAACAUCAGAAAUGUGUUUUUUGAACGGCUUUUUCUUUGGUCACAAUCAAUGCCAAUGCUUUUCAGAUUAUUCCUUAUCACCAAUGACAAAAUUCAGAAUUCUUGUCAAUUUACAAAGCCCAGCAAAAAAGUGAACCUCUCUCGUCGCCCUCCUUUCUCUUCCUCUUGCUCUCUCCUUCCCUGUCUUCUCUUCUCUCCUAAUUCUCCUCCCUCACCCGGAUCUCCCUCCGUCUACCACCCCUCCCAUACCCCUUCCGCGUGCCCCUCACCAACAGCUGUGUGAGGGGCGACGAGCGGCGGCGGCGCACGGGGACGAGGUCCAGUGGCAGCCGAUGGGGUGAGGCGUCGGAGGGGCGCACAAGGGCAAGGCGACGACCCUGUGCAGGACCCUGUGCAGUGGCGGACAGUGGGGACGAGGCGCGGUGGGCGGCAGUGAGCGUGGCCGCGGCGGUGGGGCAGCUGCAGGGCCGCGACAGUGGGUGGUAACGAGUGGGGCCGUGACACGGCAGUGGUGGCAACGCGCAUGGCUGGAGCAGCGGUCGGUGGUGGGAGGUAUUUUCUUUUUUAUUUUUUUAGUGGGCAUCACCGCUGGUUCCGAUCCGGCGGUGCUAACGAUCUCUAUCACCGCCGAUCUAAAUCCAACGGGGCUCAAAAUCGGCGGUGAUAGGGCCCUGUGUAGUAGUGUUUAGCCUAGUAGUUUUUUUCUUUGCUUUCGAGCUUUCUUGUGUUUUUUGCCCCACAUUUGAGAUUUAAAUUCUAAGAACUCUUGUAAAUCAUGGCUGUAUAUAUCCACCAUGUGGAUAUAGUAGGCUGGUUUAUCUUUUAUCUUGAAAAA
Long non-coding RNA from Panicum hallii, 2134 nucleotides. RefSeq lists it as uncharacterized. The record is from RefSeq and is a predicted model, not a curated record. NCBI's taxonomy places the organism in Eukaryota, Viridiplantae, Streptophyta, Magnoliopsida, Poales, Poaceae. The transcript is spliced from 3 exons.